CCCUUCACAAGGGGCCAUGAAGGGAAGAAAAACUAUUUCUCUUCAAAUAGCGUAGGUUGCAUCUAAAAUUUUCUAUUAAUCUACAUAAAUAAGAAUCAAAUUUUUACCUAAUUAGCAAUAGAACUAGAGAAUAAAUUUUUAAAAAUCUAAAAUCAAACCUUCACAGAGGUUCGAAAGUGCAGACCCUCUACUCGCAUACACGCC
RNAcentral lists this long non-coding RNA (204 nucleotides) under Elaeis guineensis (African oil palm). RNAcentral's name for it is "long non-coding RNA (EGUI_LNC038696)". The record is from RNAcentral. Lineage: Eukaryota; Viridiplantae; Streptophyta; Magnoliopsida; Arecales; Arecaceae.